Molecule: ribosomal RNA, 460 nt
Filed under: Norellisoma striolatum
Lineage: Eukaryota; Metazoa; Arthropoda; Insecta; Diptera; Scathophagidae
Description: Norellia striolata partial 16S ribosomal RNA
Rfam family: Bacterial large subunit ribosomal RNA
Source: RNAcentral
UUUAAAUGGCCGCAGUAUACUAACUGUGCAAAGGUAGCAUAAUCAUUAGUCUUUUAAUUGAAGGCUGGUAUGAAUGGUUGGACGAGAUAUUAACUGUUUCAUAAAAAUUUAUAUUAGAAUUUUAUUUUUUAGUCAAAAAGCUAAAAUUUAUUUAAAAGACGAGAAGACCCUAUAAAUCUUUAUAUUUAAAUUAUUGUAAUUUUAUAGAUUAUUUUUCUUACAAUAAUUGAUGAUAUUUUAUUGGGGUGAUAUUAAAAUUUAAUAAACUUUUAAUUAUUUAAGUCAUUAAUUUAUGAGUAAUUGAUCCGUUAUUAACGAUUAAAAAAAUAAGUUACUUUAGGGAUAACAGCGUAAUUUUUUUAGAGAGUUCUUAUCGAUAAAAAAGAUUGCGACCUCGAUGUUGGAUUAAGAUAUAAUUUUAGGUGUAGUAGCUUAAAUUUUAAGUCUGUUCGACUUUUAA